GACAGAGGGUGCAACCGUUGUUCGGAUUUACUGGGCGUAAAGCGCGUGUAGGCGGCUUCGCAAGUUGGAUGUGAAAGCCCACGGCUCAACCGUGGAAGCGCAUCCAAAACUGCGUCGCUAGAGUCUCGGAGAGGAAGGUGGAAUGCUUGGUGUAGAGGUGAAAUUCGUAGAUAUCAAGCAGAACACCUGCGGCGAAGGCGGCCUUCUGGACGAUGACUGACGCUGAGACGCGAAAGCGUGGGGAGCAAACAGG
This 253-nucleotide ribosomal RNA is filed under the name uncultured bacterium. RNAcentral's name for it is "partial 16S ribosomal RNA". It matches the Rfam family "Bacterial small subunit ribosomal RNA", at positions 524 to 776 of the family's 1533-position model. The record is from RNAcentral.